Molecule: ribosomal RNA, 280 nt
Filed under: uncultured bacterium
Lineage: Bacteria
Description: partial 16S ribosomal RNA
Rfam family: Bacterial small subunit ribosomal RNA
Source: RNAcentral
GAUCAUGGCUCAGGACGAACGCUGGCGGCGUGCCUAACACAUGCAAGUCGAACGGAGAUGUUUAUUUCGGUAGAUAUCUUAGUGGCGCACGGGUGAGUAACGCGUGAAUAACCUGACCCGAAGAGGGGGAUAACACCUGGAAACAAGUGCUAAUACCGCAUAAGACCACGGACCGGCAUCGGUCAGAGGUCAAAGGAGGAAACUCCGUCGUUUGGGGUAGGGGUUCGCCGUCCCUAGUUAGGUUAGGUUGGUGGAAGGGUAACCGGCCCAACCAACGCCG